Acromyrmex echinatior (Panamanian leafcutter ant) is the source of this 565-nucleotide long non-coding RNA. NCBI's taxonomy places the organism in Eukaryota, Metazoa, Arthropoda, Insecta, Hymenoptera, Formicidae. The record is from RefSeq and is a predicted model, not a curated record.
UCGGGACCGACCAGGUCUCUCCCACUCCUCCCCCCUUCAACAAAAUGCAUAAUACUCCAAAUUUUUGCUCGGCCACCUAUCAUGCCAUUACCGCCGCUAGCCCCCACUUAACUCUCGCCAUCUUUAUCGCUCUAAUGACGCACACAAAGGACAACGAUACCUGAUCGUAGAGAUACUAUAACAGAGAUUCGACAACGCGUUAAUGAUUUCUGAUUGGCUCCCGUCGCUUGGGGUAUAACCGGAAGUGAGAGAGAAAGAUAUAUAUAACUAAGAAAGAAAGCUUAGCCGACCUAACCUGUCACCUGUCGAAAGAAAACAGCGUGCCUACUGCCUAAAUAAUCAACAUUGAACUAAACUGGUUAAAAGUACAUUAAUCAUACAACGAAAAAAAAAAUAUCGAUCUCGGUUGAUCGAUUAUAAAGUGAAAAUAUAUAAAAGUGUCAACACUUGUGCAAUUUAUAAGGUGAAUAAAAAAUGCCUAAUAGCUGCUGUGCCGGCUAUUGUACUAAUACAAAUAUAAAAGGAUAUCAGAUAUGUCGAUUUCCAAAAGAUUCGGAAAGAAAAA